Long non-coding RNA from Mya arenaria, 2579 nucleotides. RefSeq lists it as uncharacterized. The transcript is spliced from 4 exons. Lineage: Eukaryota; Metazoa; Mollusca; Bivalvia; Myida; Myidae. The record is from RefSeq and is a predicted model, not a curated record.
UUAGUUGAACCACCACUUGAAAGAUUAAAACUUAAAUUGUCACUAUCAAGAUGUGUUUUAUUACCCCCAAUUAACCCCCUAAUUCACUCCAUUUGUUAGGUUUAGAAGUGUUACUAUGGAGACCUUUAAAGCCAAUAUUUUUAAACUAGUAUUUUGCUUCAAACACAUACACAUACACGUUGACAUUAUAUGUUAUAUCAUUAUGUGUUGUUGACGAUGUACAUUGUACAAGUCAAAAUAAAUUGUCUGUCUGUCUGUCUGUCUGUCUGUCUGUCUGUCUGUCUGUCUGACAUAAUAAGGCCUAUACAAAUCUUUGUUUACACCCAUUUGAAUUUAUUUUUUUCUUCCUAUUUUUUUUUUUUUUUUUUUUGCGUUUUGAUCAAAAUGCGUUUUUUCAGAGACCUAAAAUAAUACCCUGAUACAGGUCAGUUUGCUGAAGAAUUAUGUUCGUCCAAAAAAAAGUAAUGCCUACCUAUCUACCCUUUUUUGGGGGGAUGUUAGUAGAAACUAAGAAUAUUUGUUUCGCCUAAUCAAGGAUUUAAUUUGAAGACAGUUUUGCUGCAUACUGUAUAUAUUUUUACUUUAUUACAUUGCAUUGUGUGGGAGUAGGAUUUGAUAUAUUGGUGCAAGGUAUUUUGAUUAUAACAAUUCCAGGAAGUUUAUCAAAAUGCUAAUCUUUAUGCAAGAUGUGUCAUGUUUGGUGUCAUUAUUUUGCUUUUAUAAUUCACUUCUAUAUUUAAUAAAAUGUGACGCGUCAUGAGACUUUUGGCCCGAAACCCAUAGCCUCGAUUUCUAGAAAAACGUGCGCAAAGUUGAAGCGUAAAGAAUAAUAAAUAAACGAAGUAUUUAUCGUAAAAAGAACCAUUAAACAUUUUGUCACCCUAGAUUGUUCAGUCAAAUAUAUUCUUUAAAAUGUAAUGUUCAUAGAAAUAGUGUUUUUAACCACUUUCUUUCGUAUUGUUUAUUACUUUCGGUGUCAUCUCCCGUAGUUGUCAUGCGCUAUUUUUUAACCUAAAUUAGAGGAUGUAAGUCGAGCUGAACCAAAGACAUUUACAUCCAAUUAGGAAUUUGUAGGUCAAGCACCUGCUGUACAUAGAACAACAACCCAUUACAGCUUUGACUAUGCAGAGCAGGUUCUCAGAUAUUUAUCUCAGUGAUAAGGGUUUAGCUAUUAUUUGGCCAAUGGUGUGGUAUCUCAUUUUCAACAUCAUCCAAAUGGAGAAGAAUCUGCAUACCUGCACGUUGACAACUGUGUUGGGCAGAGUAAAAACAAUGCAGUCAUUGGGUAUGAUUUACAAAAACAGGGUUGAAGUACAUCACUUAUGCACUGCAUAUUGACACAUGAGAAUAUUAGAAUAACAAGACAAUGUAACUUUUAUUAUUUUUUCAAUACAAGUAAUCAGAAUUCUCAUUAGUCUUAUAGAAAUAGUUCUGGCUUAAAUCUGUUCACUUACUUCUCUAAAUGUCAUGGAUUAAAGGCAAUCAGUUCAAUAAAUUGUAUGUAAUUCUAUGUUUAAGGGUCUGAUGUAUUCUGAAGGGGCUACAUAGAGAAAUAGCAUUAACUUAAAUGGAAGCAGGUGAAAUAAAGUUCAGUCCUGUCUGAGAUUUGGUCUGUGGAAGACCAAAUGGAGGCAGCACACAUCCUUUGUGGAUUGAUGACCUUGGCAAACUGGUUAUAUUCUUUGACUGGUUGGAGUACACCAAGAGACCCCUGAAGUCCAUUCCAAACUUGAGGAAAUAUCAUCACUUCAGGUAUAACAAAAGUAUUACAGACAGUAUCACUGCCUGUUAUGUAAUUCUAUGAACAGAAGUCAAAAAUAUUUUUAGUCAUUAUUUCCACAUAUUCAGAUGUGAGUUUUGAUGUUCAAGUUAAUUUGCAUAAUUUAUUCCAAACACUAAGUAUUGUACAAAAACUUUUCAGUAUACUGAUAUGUGAUCUUUAUAAACUAAAUCUAAGAUUUGAGAAUGAUCCGUUACUGAGCUGAUGAAAACGUGUAUCAAUUUUUAUUGACAAUUAUUUAUUCAAUAGAAACAUGUUUAUGUGAAAUAAGGCUACCAGUGAUUUCGAGUGAUAAACUGUGGUUUUAGCAAAUGAGUGAUGGAAGGGUGCUGCACCCAGUCUUUUGUUUGUAGAACUCUUCUGCCAUAAUAGAGACCACUAUAUGAUUAUUAAUUAUUAAUACAAACUUUAAAAAAGCUGGCAGUUGAAGCCUAUAAAUGCUUGAGUUAAAGACAUUUAUAAUAUUGUUUGUCAAAAUUAAUAGUUACUUCACAGUCUGUACCUUAGCAACCUUUCAGUUUUUCUUUAAUAUCUUCAUUUUUAAAACCUUUUAUGAACCCUAUAAACAUUUUAGCUUUAACUUUUACCCUAUGAAUAAGCAUCAAGAAUACCAUUUGUCAUGUACUAUGUGACCAAUUGCACUUCUUGAAACUACAUAAUGAUGUGUACAUGCUAAGUAGUUAGUAUGUUAAAUUAAUUGUUUUCAUUUUGUAAAUGUGCCCAUUUAUUAACUGAUCUUUUUAUACAAUAGUGUAAAUUAUGCAGUAUUGUUAUGUUUAUUAAAUUAAGAGUAUAUUAA